UGGGGAAUCUUGGACAAUGGGGGAAACCCUGAUCCAGCGAUGCCGCGUGUGUGAAGAAGGCCUUAGGGUUGUAAAGCACUUUAAUGAGGGAGGAUUAGGAUGCGUUGAAUAGACGUGUCUGAGGACGUUACCUCAAGAAUAAGCACCGGCUAACUCUGUGCCAGCAGCCGCGGUAAUACAGAGGGUGCGAGCGUUAAUCGGAUUUACUGGGCGUAAAGGGCGCGUAGGCGGCGUGGUAAGUCAUCUGUGAAAUCUCCGAGCUUAACUCGGAACGGUCAGAUGAUACUGCUGUGCUAGAGUACAGAAAGGGCAAUCGGAAUUCUUGGUGUAGCGGUGAAAUGCGUAGAUAUCAAGAGGAACACCUGAGGCGAAGGCGGGUUGCUAGGCUGAUACUGACGCUGAGGCGCGAAAGCUAGGGUAGCAAACGGGAUUAGAUACCCCCGUAGUCCCUGAGCGGGCUGGCAAGGCGCAU
RNAcentral lists this ribosomal RNA (472 nucleotides) under uncultured bacterium. RNAcentral's name for it is "bacterial SSU rRNA". It matches the Rfam family "Bacterial small subunit ribosomal RNA", at positions 355 to 825 of the family's 1533-position model. The record is from RNAcentral.